Molecule: non-coding RNA, 90 nt
Organism: Mycena crocata
Lineage: Eukaryota; Fungi; Basidiomycota; Agaricomycetes; Agaricales; Mycenaceae
Source: the annotation of a GenBank genome assembly
GGCCUGGUGGUGUACUGGUAACAUGUCUUCUUGUUAUAAGACCUGAAGACUUUGCAGAAGACGAACCUCGUUCGAUUCGGGGCUGGGCCA